GAUGAACGCUGGCGGCGUGCCUAAUACAUGCAAGUCGAGCGAACGGACGAGAAGCUUGCUUCUCUGAUGUUAUCGGCGGACGGGUGAGUAACACGUGGAUAACCUACCUAUAAGACUGGGAUAACUUCGGGAAACCGGUGCUAAUACCGGAUGAUAUUUUGAACCGCAUGGUUCAAAAGUGAAAGACGGUCUUGCUGUCACUUAUAGAUGGAUCCGCGCUGCAUUAGCUAGUUGGUAAGGUAACGGCUUACCAAGGCAACGAUGCAUAGCCGACCUGAGAGGGUGAUCGGCCACACUGGAACUGAGACACGGUCCAGACUCCUACGGGAGGCAGCAGUAGGGAAUCUUCCGCAAUGGGCGAAAGCCUGACGGAGCAACGCCGCGUGAGUGAUGAAGGUCUUCGGAUCGUAAAACUCUGUUAUUAGGGAAGAACAUAUGUGUAAGUAACUGUGCACAUCUUGACGGUACCUAAUCAGAAAGCCACGGCUAACUACGUG
This 497-nucleotide ribosomal RNA is filed under the name uncultured bacterium. RNAcentral's name for it is "partial 16S ribosomal RNA". It matches the Rfam family "Bacterial small subunit ribosomal RNA", at positions 28 to 507 of the family's 1533-position model. The record is from RNAcentral.